This 376-nucleotide ribosomal RNA is filed under the name Monacha cartusiana. RNAcentral's name for it is "partial large subunit ribosomal RNA". It matches the Rfam family "Bacterial large subunit ribosomal RNA", at positions 1917 to 2601 of the family's 2925-position model. The record is from RNAcentral. Lineage: Eukaryota; Metazoa; Mollusca; Gastropoda; Stylommatophora; Hygromiidae.
GAGAAUUUAAAUAGCCGCAGUACCCUGACUGUGCAAAGGUAGCAUAAUCAGUUGACUUAUAAUUGAAGUCUAGUAUGAAUGGGAACACGGGAAUAUUCUGUCUUUAAUAUAUAAAAGAAAUUACUAAUUAAGUGAAAAUUCUUAAAAAUAAGAAAAUAGACGAGAAGACCCUAGAAAUUUUUUAAUUUGAUUUUGUUGGGGCGACAGGGUAACAAAAAACUUACCUAAAGUAAUAGGAAAUUUUUUAGUGGUGUAAUUAAAUUACUCUAGGGAUAACAGCAUAAUAUUUUAAAGGUUGUGACCUCGAUGUUGGACUAGGAAAUACACUACUUAAAAGGUAGUGUUUAUGGUUCUGUUCGAACUUUUACUCCUACAU